Molecule: long non-coding RNA, 1075 nt
Organism: Bubalus bubalis (water buffalo)
Lineage: Eukaryota; Metazoa; Chordata; Mammalia; Artiodactyla; Bovidae
Exons: 2
Source: RefSeq, a predicted model, not a curated record
UUGAACACAAGAAGGCAUCGGCCUCCUUUUGGCAUUCUUGCUUUCAUCUCAAAGUCACAUUUUAAAAUUUAUAUUUAAAAAAAAAGUCAGGGCAAGGGGCCAGCCCGGCUCGCGCGGCCACUGGUGCCAGAACCCCCAACACGGCAGCUACAGGAAUGAAGGCUGUGGAGGAUUAGUGGAGGAAUUAGGACCAUACAGUGGAGCGGUGCUUCACGCCAGCUUCUGAGAGCUCGCCGAGUGCUCUGGAGGCUGGGCCUUGGUACGAUGUGGGCUUUGCAGAGCAGGAGGCCUGCGGGUAUGGAAUGAGCCCCACUCACAAUAGUCCAUUUGGAGGAAGUUUUCUAAAAGCCUUGGAGAACAGAACACUGAAGCCUGUGUGGACGCCCAUUCGGGGUCUGAUCAGCGUGGUCAGCAGGAAAUGCUGUCUCUUUCCAAUCCAGAUCCAUUAUGCUGCUGGGGAAUUUGCUUCCACAAGCUUCUAUGGACACUGGUGACCAGGAUUGGAAGAAAAGCCCUGAGUGCAAUGGCUUGCGCUCUCUUCUUUCUCCUCUGGAUGCUCCCUUUCCCGGGAGCUGGGGGCAGGAUUCUGAAAACAGCAGGCCAGUUUCCUUCCUGUGUCAUGAUCGUGACCAAUACUGAUGCUGGGGGUCCUGGCCUGACUUUGGCUUGACGGCUGCACCUUUGGUUACCACGAAGUCCCUUCUGAAUUCUGAGAAUAGAACCAUCACUGCAGCUGCGGGCCUGAGUAGCCGAGGUGUCUCCCUUGGCACGCUCCUCUCUCCAGGCGUCCCUACGGCCUGAGGCGCUAUCCCCAACAAGUCAAGCUUCCCAGCCUGCACGGGGAUGGAGCCCGCGCCUGUUCUGCUUGCAUCUAUGCUCCAGCUCAAAGAGCAGCUGGGGAUUCCUGGCCUUAUUUCCUCCCGUGGCAUAGAUGGGUGAGACAGUGGAGGUGGAGCCUUGGCAUUUUAGUGUGUAGUCACACCUUCUGCAUCAAGAGAAGCAACGGGUGGGGCGGGGAGCUGAGCUUGUUUUUUUUUGCAAUAAACAGCACGUGGUGUCUUUUCAGCGUUCUUAA